RNAcentral lists this long non-coding RNA (220 nucleotides) under Vigna radiata. RNAcentral's name for it is "long non-coding RNA (VRAD_LNC014914)". The record is from RNAcentral. Lineage: Eukaryota; Viridiplantae; Streptophyta; Magnoliopsida; Fabales; Fabaceae.
UAGCAAUCACCGGUCAUUUCAACAAAUUUUGCAAGACCAACAUCUACAAGCCAAUCUUGAAAAAGAAACCCUUGCUUUCUGAAUAAUUCCAGAUCCAAGUACUUGUGAUGGACCACCUGGAAGAGUUUUCUAUAACAUUCAAAUUUGUAUUGUGUUUCGUCAUCACUUAUCCACCCAUUUAGACUAGCAUUUCUUACAACCUAUGCAACCUUCUUUCCAC